RNAcentral lists this ribosomal RNA (848 nucleotides) under Vannella bursella. Its description in RNAcentral is "bacterial SSU rRNA". It matches the Rfam family "Eukaryotic small subunit ribosomal RNA", at positions 1006 to 1828 of the family's 1831-position model. The record is from RNAcentral. Lineage: Eukaryota; Discosea; Flabellinia; Vannellidae.
GAUUAGAUACCGUCGUAGUCUUAACUAUAAACUAUGCCGACCAGGGAUAUGAGUUGUUAUGAAUGACUUUUAGUUAUUCAAUUUCCUCUUGUGGACCUUGUGAGAAAUCAUAAGUUUUUGGGUUCUGGGGGGAGUAUGGUCGCAAGGCUGAAACUUAAAGGAAUUGACGGAGGGGCACCACCAGGAGUGGAGCGUGCGGCUUAAUUUGACUCAACACGGGAAAACUUACCAGGUCCAGACAUUAGAAGGAUUGACAGAUUGAUAGCUCUUUCAUGAUUUAAUGGGUGGUGGUGCAUGGCCGUUCUUAGUUGGUGGAGUGAUUUGUCUGGUUAAUUCCGAUAACGAACGAGACCUUUACCAUACUAAAUAGUUUGAUUUAUUCAUUUAUGAAUAGAUUUACAUUUUAUAAACUUCUUAGAGGGACUAUUGGUUCUUAAACCAAAGGAAGUAAAGGCGAUAACAGGUCUGUGAUGCCCUUAGAUGUUCUGGGCUGCACGCGCGCUACAAUGAUAAACUCAACGAGUAUUUAAUAUUUAUUUAUUAUAUUGCUGUAUUGGAAAGUAUGGCUAAUCUUAAACGUUUAUCGUGCUUGGGAUAGAUGAUUGCAAUUAUUUAUCUUGAACCAGGAAUUCCUAGUAAUCGUAUAUCAUCAGUGUGCGAUGAUUACGUCCCUGCCCCUUGUACACACCGCCCGUCGCUGCUACCGAUUGGAUGAUCCGGUGAAAUCCUCGGAUAAUGAUAAAUACUUUACUUUGUAAAGUUUAUCGUUAGAAGUUGAUUAAACCUUAUCAUCUAGAGGAAGCAAAAGUCGUAACAAGGUUUCCGUAGGUGAACCUGCAGAAGGAUCA